GUAAAUAUAGUUUAAAAAAACAUUAGAUUGUGAUUCUAAAAUUAAAAACUAAACCUUUUUUAUUUACC
RNAcentral lists this transfer RNA (68 nucleotides) under Oscaecilia ochrocephala. RNAcentral describes it as "tRNA-His". It matches the Rfam family "tRNA". From Rfam's summary of the family: Transfer RNA (tRNA) molecules are approximately 80 nucleotides in length. Their secondary structure includes four short double-helical elements and three loops (D, anti-codon, and T loops). The record is from RNAcentral. Lineage: Eukaryota; Metazoa; Chordata; Amphibia; Gymnophiona; Caeciliidae.